AACCUUUACAAUGCACGAAAGUGUGAUAAGGGAAUCCUGAGUGCUUUACUUUUAGUAAGGCUUUUGUCAACUGUAAAUAGGUUGAUGAAUAAGUGGUGGGUAAGACUUGUGCCAGCCGCCGCGGUAACACCAGCGCCACAAGUGGCAACCGUUUUUAUUGGGCCUAAAGCGUCCGUAGCCUGUCUAGUAAAUUUUCUGUGAAAUCGUUGCACUAAAUGUAACGGCGUGCAGGAAAGACUGCUAGACUAGGGACCGGGAGGCGUCAGAGGUAUUCUUGAGGGAGCGGUAAAAUGCUAUAAUCUCAGGAGGACCACCUGUGGCGAAGGCGUCUGACGAGAACGGAUCCAACGGUGAGGGACGAAAGCUAGGGGAGCGAACCGG
This 381-nucleotide ribosomal RNA is filed under the name uncultured archaeon. RNAcentral describes it as "bacterial SSU rRNA". It matches the Rfam family "Archaeal small subunit ribosomal RNA", at positions 345 to 727 of the family's 1478-position model. The record is from RNAcentral.